RNAcentral lists this unclassified non-coding RNA (216 nucleotides) under soil metagenome. Its description in RNAcentral is "partial contains 5.8S ribosomal RNA, internal transcribed spacer 2, and large subunit ribosomal RNA". The record is from RNAcentral.
AACGGUCUAUACCUGCGGUACCUGCGGAGGGAUCAUUACUGAGUUUCACAACUCUCUAACCCUGUGUGAACUGAAGUCUGGUUGCUCAGGCAGGCGGCCCCCGGGGGGAGCCGCAGCUUCUCUGAAGCGCCUGCCGGAGGAUACCUAAACUCGUUUUAACAUAUAAUCUUCUGAGUAAUAAAAAAAAUGAAUCAAAACUUUUAGCAAUGGAUCUCU